Molecule: ribosomal RNA, 219 nt
Filed under: uncultured bacterium
Lineage: Bacteria
Description: partial 16S rRNA
Rfam family: Bacterial small subunit ribosomal RNA
Source: RNAcentral
UAGGGAAUAUUGCUGCAAUGGAGGCGAACUCUGACGCAGCGACGCCGCGUGAGUGAUGAAGGUCUUCGGAUCGUAAAGCUCUGUCCUUGGGGAAGAAGAUGACGGUACCCAAGGAGGAAGCCCCGGCUAACUACGUGCCAGCAGCCGCGGUAAUACGUAGGGGGCAAGCGUUGUCCGGAAUUAUUGGGCGUAAGGGGUGCGUAGGCGGCCUUUUAAGUC